This 499-nucleotide ribosomal RNA is filed under the name uncultured bacterium. RNAcentral's name for it is "partial 16S ribosomal RNA". It matches the Rfam family "Bacterial small subunit ribosomal RNA", at positions 29 to 523 of the family's 1533-position model. The record is from RNAcentral.
AUUGAACGCUAGCGGGAUGCCUUACACAUGCAAGUCGAACGGCAGCACGGACUUCGGUCUGGUGGCGAGUGGCGAAUGGGUGAGUAAUGUAUCGGAACGUGCCCAGUAGCGGGGGAUAACUACUCGAAAGAGUAGCUAAUACCGCAUACGCCCUACGGGGGAAAGGGGGGGACCGCAAGACCUCUCACUAUUGGAGCGGCCGAUAUCGGAUUAGAUAGUUGGUGGGGUAAAGGCCCACCAAGGCGACGAUCCGUAGCUGGUUUGAGAGGACGACCAGCCGCACUGGGUCGGCGACGCGGCCCAGACUCCUACGGGAGGCAGCAGUGGGGAAUUUUGGACAAUGGGCGCAACCCUGAUCCAGCAAUGCCGCGUGAGUGAAGAAGGCCUUCGGGUUGUAAAGCUCUUUUGUCAGGGAAGAAACACCGGCUCUAACACAGUCCGGGAAUGACGGUACCUGAAGAAUAAGCACCGGCUAACUACGUGCCAGCCGCCGCGGUAA